GUCUAAGAGUUAGUUAAAAAUAUUAAGGAAGGAUGGGAUAAAUAAGUUCUAGCGCCCGUGUACAUUUUUGAGUAGAGUUCUUUAUGUUUUAUAAUGUAGAUUUCAAGUGCAUGACGAACUUACUUGGUCCGCUAACACUCGCUAAUUUUACUCAAAUGUAUUUGGUGUGUUCAGUGGUGUAAGAAAGGUUAGUGGACUCAUCAGAAUAUAAAAGUUAUGGUAUAGCGGUGAACGGGAGGAUUAGCAUUGUAGAGGAGUCAAAAGAGUGGUGUUCCUUGGGUAAAGGUUGAGGUGGGUGAAAGAACUCUUAAAGUUUCUUUAGCAGGCCGAGGUGCCUGCCCAGUUAAACCUUGAAGGAUCCAGACUGUUCUUGCUUCUUCUAGCAACUGUGCCGGCAACACGAUGGACUUGGUGUAUCAAUGAUAAAUUGAAGCAUUUUUCAAGUGAUGCGGAUGAUCAGGCUGAUGGGGUAAUAAGAAGUGAGGUGAUCUGUUAGUUAUUUAGUUCUGUGUUUUGUACGAAAGACAAUCAAAUUAGUUUAACUAUUUAAUUAUUAAUACCUUAACUAUUAACAUCUUCUCUUUUUUAACUAGCCAACACUUUAUACAACGAAAUAUUUUGUAUUUAACCAAAUUGGU
Molecule: long non-coding RNA, 638 nt
Organism: Cimex lectularius (bed bug)
Lineage: Eukaryota; Metazoa; Arthropoda; Insecta; Hemiptera; Cimicidae
Exons: 3
Source: RefSeq, a predicted model, not a curated record